UACGUAGAGUGCGAGCGUUAAUCGGAAUUACUGGGCGUAAAGCGUGCGCAGGCGGUCUGUUAAGACCGAUGUGAAAUCCCCGGGCUUAACCUGGGAACUGCAUUGGUGACUGGCAGGCUUUGAGUGUGGCAGAGGGAGGUAGAAUUCCACGUGUAGCAGUGAAAUGCGUAGAGAAUGUGGAGGAAUACCGAUGGCGAAGGCAGCCUCCUGGGCCAACACUGACGCUCAUGCACGAAAGCGUGGGGAGCAAACAGG
This 255-nucleotide ribosomal RNA is filed under the name uncultured bacterium. RNAcentral describes it as "partial 16S ribosomal RNA". It matches the Rfam family "Bacterial small subunit ribosomal RNA", at positions 524 to 776 of the family's 1533-position model. The record is from RNAcentral.